GGACAUAAGGCUGAUUCAGCUCUGACAUCCGCCAACCCACUAAUCACUAGGGUUGAUUCUUAGGCCAAUAUGGCUGACUAGUUGGGUGUUCCCUUCUUUUCUCACAGUUCCAAGUAUAUCCUUCCCAAAAGUUAUGUGCUCAGAUCAAGAAGACAACUUCUCCUAUAAAGACUGGUUUUUUGUUUUUGUUAGUAUAUAUGAAUAGCUGUGCUCUAUACCCAAACCUCCAAACAAGCUCUAAAGAAACUAGAAAUGGAGUUUAUGGGUGUUAAUGUACUACUUUUU
RNAcentral lists this small nuclear RNA (285 nucleotides) under Microtus ochrogaster (prairie vole). RNAcentral describes it as "7SK RNA (ENSMOCG00000011030.1)". It matches the Rfam family "7SK RNA". Rfam says of the family: 7SK was discovered as an abundant small nuclear RNA in the mid-70s but a possible function has only recently been suggested. Two independent studies have found that 7SK RNA binds the CDK9/cyclin T complex (known as elongation factor P-TEFb). Lineage: Eukaryota; Metazoa; Chordata; Mammalia; Rodentia; Cricetidae. The record is from RNAcentral.